UACGUAGGGUGCAAGCGUUUGUCCGGAAUUAUUGGGCGUAAAGAGCUCGUAGGUGGCCUGUCGCGUCGGCUGUGAAAACUCGGGGCUCAACUCCGAGCUUGCAGUGGGUACGGGCAGACUAGAGUGCGGUAGGGGUGACUGGAAUUCCUGGUGUAGCGGUGGAAUGCGCAGAUAUCAGGAGGAACACCGAUGGCGAAGGCAGGUCACUGGGCCGCAACUGACGCUGGAGGAGCGGAAAGCAUGGGGAGCGAAACAGG
RNAcentral lists this ribosomal RNA (257 nucleotides) under uncultured bacterium. RNAcentral's name for it is "partial 16S ribosomal RNA". It matches the Rfam family "Bacterial small subunit ribosomal RNA", at positions 524 to 776 of the family's 1533-position model. The record is from RNAcentral.